RNAcentral lists this non-coding RNA (159 nucleotides) under Phyllobacteriaceae bacterium. RNAcentral describes it as "6S RNA". It matches the Rfam family "6S / SsrS RNA". Rfam says of the family: E. coli 6S RNA was the first non coding RNA to be sequenced, but its function was unknown until recently. Lineage: Bacteria; Pseudomonadati; Pseudomonadota; Alphaproteobacteria; Hyphomicrobiales; Phyllobacteriaceae. The record is from RNAcentral.
ACGAGGCUGCGCGACGCGACAGGAGACUGCAUCCCCGGGGCCUUAUCGAUCUCAAAGGGAGCUGUCCCUGGGAAGGUCCGUGGACUUUCCCACAACGGCGCCCACCUACGUUGUAGGUUUCCCGGGAUCGAUUUCUCCACCGGUCGAGGUGGCUUCGUC